This 484-nucleotide ribosomal RNA is filed under the name uncultured bacterium. RNAcentral's name for it is "partial 16S ribosomal RNA". It matches the Rfam family "Bacterial small subunit ribosomal RNA", at positions 30 to 507 of the family's 1533-position model. The record is from RNAcentral.
AUUGAACGCUGGCGGCAGGCCUAACACAUGCAAGUCGAGCGGAUGAAGGGAGCUUGCUCCUGGAUUCAGCGGCGGACGGGUGAGUAAUGCCUAGGAAUCUGCCUGGUAGUGGGGGAUAACGUCCGGAAACGGGCGCUAAUACCGCAUACGUCCUGAGGGAGAAAGUGGGGGAUCUUCGGACCUCACGCUAUCAGAUGAGCCUAGGUCGGAUUAGCUAGUUGGUGGGGUAAAGGCCUACCAAGGCGACGAUCCGUAACUGGUCUGAGAGGAUGAUCAGUCACACUGGAACUGAGACACGGUCCAGACUCCUACGGGAGGCAGCAGUGGGGAAUAUUGGACUAAGGGCGAAAGCCUGAUCCAGCCAUGCCGCGUGUGUGAAGAAGGUCUUCGGAUUGUAAAGCACUUUAAGUUGGGAGGAAGGGCAGUAAGUUAAUACCUUGCUGUUUUGACGUUACCAACAGAAUAAGCACCGGCUAACUUCGUG